GUAGUCAUAUGCUUGUCUCAAAGAUUAAGCCAUGCAAGUCUAAGUUUAAGCAAUUAAACGGCGUAAACUGCGAAUGGCUCAUUAAAUCAGUUAUCGUCUAUUUGAUAGUACCUAGUACAUGGAUACCUGUGGCAAUUCUAGAGCUAAUACAUGCUGAAACUCCCGACUUCGGAAGGGAGGUAUUUGUUAGAUGAAAAACCAAUGCCCUUCGGGGCUCCCUGGUGAAUCAUAAUAACUUCGCGAAUCGCACGGCCUUGCGCCGGCGAUGGCUCAUUCAAAUUUCUGCCCUAUCAACUUUCGACGGCUGGGUCUUGGCCAGCCGUGGUUGCAACGGGUAACGGAGGGUUAGGGCUUGAUCCCGGAGAAGGAGCCUGAGAAACGGCUACUACAUCCAAGGAAGGCAGCAGGCGCGCAAAUUACCCAAUCCCGAUACGGGGAGGUAGUGACAAUAAAUACUGAUACAGGGCUCUUUUGGGUCUUGUAAUUGGAAUGAG
RNAcentral lists this ribosomal RNA (494 nucleotides) under Sinodiscula theae-sinensis. Its description in RNAcentral is "SSU rRNA". It matches the Rfam family "Eukaryotic small subunit ribosomal RNA", at positions 20 to 518 of the family's 1831-position model. Lineage: Eukaryota; Fungi; Ascomycota; Sordariomycetes; Diaporthales; Melanconiellaceae. The record is from RNAcentral.